RNAcentral lists this small RNA (246 nucleotides) under Histoplasma capsulatum. RNAcentral describes it as "hypothetical RNA". Lineage: Eukaryota; Fungi; Ascomycota; Eurotiomycetes; Onygenales; Ajellomycetaceae. The record is from RNAcentral.
UCUAUCGCUGCCAACCUAUAUAGGGUAAAUCAUGGUCCCAUUUGGUCCCAUUUUGUAAAAUGGGACCAAAUGGGACCAGAAUCACUAAUUUAUUAGUAAAACAUGAUCUGGGACUAGAUUUAUAAUAUAAACAGUGUAAAGUGACUAAUUUGCUAAACACUAUAUGGGACCAGGACUAAGAUAUCUAAUAAUGGGACUGAGGAAAAAUUUGGUCCCAGUCCCAUGCAUGGUCACACGGCCAGUCUA